Molecule: ribosomal RNA, 1076 nt
Filed under: Salmonella enterica subsp. enterica
Lineage: Bacteria; Pseudomonadati; Pseudomonadota; Gammaproteobacteria; Enterobacterales; Enterobacteriaceae
Description: partial 23S ribosomal RNA
Rfam family: Bacterial large subunit ribosomal RNA
Source: RNAcentral
AGUCUUAAUAGGGCGAAUUAGUUGCAGGGCAUAGACCCGAAACCGAGUGAUCUAUCCAUGAGCAGGUUGAAAGUGCCGUAACAGGCACCGGAGGACCGAACCCACUGUCGUUGAAAAGCCAGGGGAUGACUUGUGGAUAGGGGUGAAAGGCUAAUCAAACUCGGUGAUAGCUGGUUCUCCCCGAAAGCUAUUUAGGUAGCGCCUCGGACGAACACCAUUGGGGGUAGAGCACUGUUUCGGCUAGGGGGUCAUACCGACUUACCAAACCGAUGCAAACUCCGAAUACCGAUGAGUGAUAUCCGGGAGACACACAGUGGGUGCUAACGUCCAUUGUGGAGAGGGAAACAACCCAGACCGCCAGCUAAGGCCCCAAAUUCCUAGUUAAGUGGGAAACGAGGUGGGAAGGCAUAGACAGCUAGGAGGUUGGCUUAGAAGCAGCCAUCCUUUAAAGAAAGCGUAAUAGCUCACUAGUCGAGUCGGCCCGCGCGGAAGAUGUAACGGGGCUCAAACUAGGAGCCGAAGCUGCGGAUUUGAAUUUGUUUUCAAGUGGUAGGGGAGCGUUGUGUAAGCCUGUGAAGGUGUGUUGUAAAGCAUGCUGGAGGUAUCACAAGAGCGAAUGCUGACGUGAGUAACGAUAAUGCGAGUGAAAAGCUCGCACGCCGGAAGAUCAAGGGUUCCAGUCCAACGUUAAUCGGGGCUGGGUGAGUCGACCCCUAAGGCGAGGCCGAAAGGCGUAGUCGAUGGGAAAUCGGUUAAUAUUCCGAUACUUGUUUAUAAUGCGAUGGAGGGACGGAGUAGGUUAUGUCAGCCUGGCGUUGGUUGUCCAGGUGAAAGGAUGUAGGUAGACAGUUUAGGCAAAUCCGGACUGUCAUUAUACUGAGAUCUGAUAGCAAGCUGUACUUGUACAGCGAAGUGGCAAAUACCAUGCUUCCAGGAAAAGCUUCUAAGCAAUAGUUAUAAACGAAUCGUACCCUAAACCGACACAGGUGAUCAGGUAGAGAAUACCAAGGCGCUUGAGAGAACUCUGCUGAAGGAACUAGGCAAAAUGGUACCGUAACUUCGGGAGAAGGUACGCU